This 425-nucleotide ribosomal RNA is filed under the name uncultured delta proteobacterium. RNAcentral describes it as "bacterial SSU rRNA". It matches the Rfam family "Bacterial small subunit ribosomal RNA", at positions 1074 to 1498 of the family's 1533-position model. The record is from RNAcentral. Lineage: Bacteria; Deltaproteobacteria.
GUUGGGUUAAGUCACGCAACGAGCGCAACCCUAUUGUUAGUUGCCAUCACAUAAUGGUGGGCACUCUAAUGAGACUGCCCGGGUCAACCGGGAGGAAGGUGGGGACGACGUCAAGUCAUCAUGGCCCUUACGCCUAGGGCUACACACGUACUACAAUGGUGCAUACAAAGGGUUGCGAAACCGCGAGGUCAAGCCAAUCCCAAAAAAUGCAUCCCAGUCCGGAUCGGAGUCUGCAACUCGACUCCGUGAAGUUGGAAUCGCUAGUAAUCCCGGAUCAGCAUGCCGGGGUGAAUACGUUCCCGGGCCUUGUACAGACCGCCCGUCACACCACGAGAGCUGGUUCUACCCGAGAACGGCGGACUAACCCUUCGGGAGGUAGUGGUCUACGGUAGGGCUGGUGAUUGGGGUGAAGUCGUAACAAGGUA